GGAAACAUUAUUGUUAAGCAUGUAUGUUAUAAAAGUGAAAAAAUACAAAACUUUACUAGAAUAAGGCCACUCAAUCUUUCCUACAACACACAUUCCUAUUACUCUCACUUUCAUCUCCACUCUCCACCUACCCAAUCACUCCUUUAUGGCGGCAUGGCUUUAUCUUGUCUCCACCAUCAACCUCCAUCUCUGUCCCAAUUGACACCCAAAAAAUUGAAAACAUGUCAUCAAUUUAGAUAUUUUUCUUCAAGGCUCUGUAUCAACUCUCGUUUCUUCUCAUUCAGCAAUCACCAUUAGCUACCAUAAAGUUUCCAUUAAAUUCACCAUCUCAUAUUGCUCAGAGGCGUCUUCUUUGAUUGUUGUGGAUAAGAAACCAUCUGAUAUAACCAAAGUUUGACUCUUCUUGCCUAGCAAAGGCCAAUGGCUGCUGACUCCCUCAAUCUUCUCGAGAAUUGUCAGCUAUCAGUUAAGCAGGUGAAUCCACAGAAGUUUGUUGCACAAGUUCCAUAGUACAUAUGGCCUAAAAAUACAGCAUCGAUCGGAUAAAAACAGACACUCCUGAUUGGAUAUGCAAAGUUUAAAUCGUUGACAUGAUUCGAGAGAGAAAUCUCCUAAGAAGAAAAUUCAAUUUCAAAAUCUCAUUUUAGAGAAUGAACAGAAUCUUGGGAAAAAGAAGAUUCAGAUAAGCAUUAUUGUCAUUGGCCAUGUCGACUAUGGAAAGUCUAUCACUAUUGGUCACUUGAUUUACAAGCUUAGUGGCAUUGACAAGCAUGCCAUUGAAAGGUUCGAGAAAGAAGCAACUAAGAUAAACAAGAGGUCCUUUAAGUAUGCUUGGGUGCUUGACAAGCCGAGGGCUGACAGUGAACGUGGUAUUACCAUUGUUAUUGCCUUGGGGAAGUUUGAGACCACAAAGUACUGUUGCACUGUGAUUGAUUCCCCUAGAAAAAGGGAUUUUAUUUAGAACAUGAUUACUGCUAUCUGCCAGGCUGACUGUGUUGUCCUCAUUAUUGAUUCCACCACUGACUCUUUUGAAGCUGGUAUCUUCAAAGAUGGACAAAUCCGUGAUCGUACAUUGCUUGCUUUCACCCUUGGUGGCAAGCAAAUGAUUUGUUGUUGUAACAAGGUCUCUUUUACUGAUAUUUUUUUAUGUUAAAGUGAAAUUUGAUGUUGCAUUACAAUUAAAAUACAAUGUUGGACCCGUGCUAAGCACGGGCUUACCCAUCUAGGCUACGUAUAAGUUAGUAAUUAUGGCACAUCCCUAUUUCCUCUGUAAAAGUUAAGACUUUAUACAAUGCAUCAUUAAUUAAUUUGUGGCGAAUAAGUUCACAUGAGAAUUA
Molecule: long non-coding RNA, 1337 nt
Organism: Capsicum annuum
Lineage: Eukaryota; Viridiplantae; Streptophyta; Magnoliopsida; Solanales; Solanaceae
Exons: 4
Source: RefSeq, a predicted model, not a curated record